AUCUGAAUAGUUUAUAAAAAUAUCGAUUUGUGGUGUCGAUGAUAUGAAUUUAAUUCAUUUUAGAUC
Molecule: transfer RNA, 66 nt
Filed under: Oscinella pusilla
Lineage: Eukaryota; Metazoa; Arthropoda; Insecta; Diptera; Chloropidae
Description: tRNA-His
Rfam family: tRNA
About the family: Transfer RNA (tRNA) molecules are approximately 80 nucleotides in length. Their secondary structure includes four short double-helical elements and three loops (D, anti-codon, and T loops).
Source: RNAcentral